Molecule: ribosomal RNA, 478 nt
Filed under: uncultured bacterium
Lineage: Bacteria
Description: partial 16S ribosomal RNA
Rfam family: Bacterial small subunit ribosomal RNA
Source: RNAcentral
GACGAACGCUGGCGGCGUGCUUAACACAUGCAAGUCGAACGGUAAGGCCCUUCGGGGUACACGAGUGGCGAACGGGUGAGUAACACGUGGGUGAUCUGCCCUGCACUCUGGGAUAAGCCUGGGAAACUGGGUCUAAUACCGGAUAUGAGCUCCUGUCGCAUGGCGGGGGUUGGAAAGGUUUACUGGUGCAGGAUGGGCCCGCGGCCUAUCAGCUUGUUGGGGGGGUAAUGGCCUACCAAGGCGACGACGGGUAGCCGGCCUGAGAGGGCGACCGGCCACACUGGGACUGAGACACGGCCCAGACUCCUACGGGAGGCAGGAGUGGGGAAUAUUGCACAAUGGGCGAAAGCCUGAUGCAGCGACGCCGCGUGAGGGAUGACGGCCUUCGGGUUGUAAACCUCUUUCAGCAGGGACGAAGCGAGAGUGACGGUACCUGCAGAAGAAGCACCGGCCAACUACGUGCCAGCCGCCGCCGUAA